Molecule: ribosomal RNA, 488 nt
Filed under: uncultured bacterium
Lineage: Bacteria
Description: bacterial SSU rRNA
Rfam family: Bacterial small subunit ribosomal RNA
Source: RNAcentral
CUACGUGCCAGCAGCCGCGGUAAUACGUAGGUGGCAAGCGUUGUCCGGAAUUAUUGGGCGUAAAGCGCGCGCAGGCGGAUUGGUCAGUCUGUCUUAAAAGUUCGGGGCUUAACCCCGUGAUGGGAUGGAAACUGCCAAUCUAGAGUAUCGGAGAGGAAAGUGGAAUUCCUAGUGUAGCGGUGAAAUGCGUAGAUAUUAGGAAGAACACCAGUGGCGAAGGCGACUUUCUGGACGAAAACUGACGCUGAGGCGCGAAAGCCAGGGGAGCGAACGGGAUUAGAUACCCCGGUAGUCCUGGCCGUAAACGAUGGGUACUAGGUGUAGGAGGUAUCGACCCCUUCUGUGCCGGAGUUAACGCAAUAAGUACCCCGCCUGGGGAGUACGACCGCAAGGUUGAAACUCAAAGGAAUUGACGGGGGCCCGCACAAGCGGUGGAGCAUGUGGUUUAAUUCGAAGAUACGCGAAGAACCUUACCCGGACUUGAUAUC